Long non-coding RNA from Bactrocera tryoni, 2931 nucleotides. RefSeq lists it as uncharacterized. Lineage: Eukaryota; Metazoa; Arthropoda; Insecta; Diptera; Tephritidae. The transcript is spliced from 3 exons. The record is from RefSeq and is a predicted model, not a curated record.
GGUCGCUGGUCGCUGGUGUACCGUACUGUGUGUGACGUGUUGAUUGAGCGCUCAAUGGUUGGUGUAAGCGACGGCUGCUCAUAGUUUUUCGUCGUUCGUUGGCCUUUGGCCGUUUCUAGGUGGUGUGCUGAUGAAUUCUGCCGUUCAGUUGUUGGAUGGUCGGUUGCCAGCUUGACGUGCUGUGCUGUGGUGCUGUGGUGCUGUGUCGUGUUUGUGCAUUUGAAGUGAACAAGGUACUGAAACGACUGCGCAUUACUAUCAAUAAUUAGCGCAAAAUGAGUGGAAUUACAACAGAAUCAAUAAAAAAGUAACCGAUAAUGGAAGCUAAUAUUCGGAAAAUGUUCGACAUUAUUUACUGUUUAUUUUCAAGUAUGCGAGUAUAAAUAGAUAAAUACAUAAAUUAAUAUAUAGACAUUUGUUCGAAGUUCGAAAAUUGUGCGAUUUUCCGAUUUACACAAAUGAAUUCAAUGAUAAGAUGGAAAAAGUCGAAAAAGUCGAAAAAGUGCUUGUAAUGAGAAAUAACAUCUAAAAUAUAAAAGUGCGAAAUAAAACUGGAAAUAAACGCAUAUAAUUAAUAACUAAAAAUGUUUGCGAACUACGCAGUUGACCAACUAGCUACGACGCGGCCGUGGAGCUUGGCGAGUGCUCAGCUAGUGUCGUUGGGGAGGAAUUCGCCGAUCAUGCCGUUCAUGGCGAUGGUGUUGACAGUAAUAGAGUGCAGCUCAUAGCAAAAAAAAAGCCUGACUUCAGCUCAAAUGCCUUUCGGUGGAGCUUUUGGUGUUUUAUGCUACUGGCGCAAGAAGUGUCAGCGCCGCAGUUGUCGUAUCUUUGUUUCGCCGUUUGGUUAUGUGGGCACACGAAAACUAUUCGUUCUGCCGAAUUGUUGGUCGUUGUACGAAUGUACGCUACCGAAAACCGAGGCGGAUUCGGAAUUUAACGACAACGAGUAAUGUCGCCGAAACUUAAGUUCUUCUUUAAUUGUUAUUAUUAUUAUUAUUGUUAGUGUUGUUGUAUUUGUAGUUGUCGAGAAGGCCAACCUUCGUCGGUAUGGUUGACGACUUUAUAGCGCCACUUGCGCCACUUGAACAACUAAUUCAGGGCGACAGCAAUAACAACAAGCAGAGUAACAAUAAGAAGAACAACAAUGACGACAAUAAUAUUCGUAACAACAAUAAAUGAGGCUAAGACAAUAAAGUGAAAAUGUGAACUUUGAAACAAAUGAUUUUUCUAACCAAUUUAAGAGGCCCGACACACGCACACACAUAUAUACAUGUAUUAAAAAGACGAAACGGAGCAGUGGAUUAUAUUUGGAUGAAUUUAGCCACGAGAAUACAUGUACAUAUUUACAAACAUACAUUGUUGGUAUAACACCGAAAGCAAUGACAAUCUUAAAGUGGAUCAAUGACAGUCGUUUUUAAGUGCGACAGUGCCACGCAACUAACUGCAAUGCAAACAUCAGUGAUUCGGUCUAGAAGUGGACAACUGAAAUGUGCAUUCCUGAUUUAGAGCUUGUCUAACGUAUACUAGUAACUUGGUGAUAUGACAAAUUUUAUAUAUAUUUACAUACUUGUAAAUAUCUGCUUGGAAUUCGUUAGUAAAAAAAAUACGCAAAAAUUUCCUGCUGGGGCUGUGACGACAAUGCGUACAAAUUUAAAUAAUUUGUAAACAUGAUAAUAGAGAGUAUAAAGAAGCUCAAAUGCCAAACAACAAGAACAACAACAAUAAUAAACAAUCAGAGGAAAUUAAGCAAUCAAAAGUAACACAAAUGUAGUCGAACAAAUAAUAUAGAAAAGGGGAGAGCGGAAGCAGGAACGCCAUCGCCGCUUUGCAAAUGAAAUGGAAAUUGAAAAGCCCAGACAACGACAAUAACAACGACAGCAACCACUUCAGCGAAAACACUUCCGUCACAAUGAGUACUACGAGCAAAUGAAACUAAAACAGACUUUGCACCAAUUUUCAAUGGCACGAGCGUCGAGAACAUUGAACUAUUUUCCACUUUUUACGGCGUGUAUAUAUUUUUAUGGAAAGUGUUGAGUUAUAUCGACGCCAUCCGACUUCACCGCAAAUAUAUGCACCUAUUUAAAAAGAAUAGAUAUAAACACACGAACCUGCACACAUGCAUGCCCAAAAUCGUGCUUGUAUGAAAACGUAAGCGAUUCUAAGUAAGUGAGCAGCGGAACAGUGAACACCGAACGAAGUACUCUACAAUCAGAAAUCGACGAGCAGCAACAGUCAGUAACUUACUAGCAACGUCUCGUCUUCCAAAAAAAAAAACAAAAAAAUAAUAAUAAUAUUAUUAAUAAUGAAGAACGACUGAGACUGUCUUUGUUUGCAGCCGAAUGGAAUGGCAUGAAACGGAGCCUGAGACUGGCACGGGCGUGAGUGCACUCUUAUCUGUAAAUCGCGAUCUACACCGACUCGACACCAAUCCACACGAAUAUCGAACACUCGCACACACGCAAUCAGCGAUGACACCGUUUUACGAAUUCGCUCCGCCGCUUUUGCGUUUAUUGAAUGGGAUAAGUACAUCGCCAUAAACAGAUAUUGUAUGGAGCUGCAAGCAAGCACCCCAAAACGAAAACAGAAACCGAAAAAAACUGGAAAUUUUCAAAAUGAAAACAAACAUUGUGGAAGCAAAGCGCAGCUGAUAAGCUGGAGGUACCCACACGCUGUUCCGUCACCAUCUGCAGCCAGAACACUUCGGGUCAAUACUCGUGGUAGCGCCCAAUGCUCCUCCGGACAGUUGAUUACCCCAUACCCCAUCAUUGUCGGGGUUUUUAUGCCGUUGUUGUUGUUUUUUUCAAAUGGCUGGCAAAAUGGAAAUCCCAACAAAAUGCAACUUCUUACAAGCAAGACAACCUCACGAAUAUCAACCCGGAGAAUAUUAGAAGAGUUAAGGUCCGUUUAUGCGAAGCAAAUGUGGAUGAACAG